This 582-nucleotide long non-coding RNA is filed under the name Oreochromis niloticus (Nile tilapia). RNAcentral describes it as "lncRNA (ENSONIG00000043111.1)". Lineage: Eukaryota; Metazoa; Chordata; Actinopteri; Cichliformes; Cichlidae. The record is from RNAcentral.
UUGCCUUCUCUCCUUUAUCAGUGAGCCAGAUUUGCACAUGAAGGCCACUGCAGUCCCUGGGAGGCUGAUAGCAUUUAUAGUCAGCAACAGCAAAAGAAAACCAAAGAUGCACACAAUGACUUGCUGACAUUAAGUGUCCCCCCCCUUCAAUCCCAGCCAAUUCCUUCUCUCAUCCUCGCCGGAUUCCUCUCUGCUCCACUUAGGAUUUCAACACACAGCUGGAGAACCACGGCUUGUCUUCAGAAUCUGAAAAGUAGCCUCAAGUGUUUUUAACCGGGAGAUGUAUUAGACAUCAAUACAGGCACCAAUCAAUGUGUUAAAAGGAAAAAAAACUAUAAAGCUUUCAUGUGGCGAAAUCAUCAAAACGUAAUGAUUAUUUAUUUUAAAAAUGGAUUUUAGAACAAAAUUAUUAAUUUUUGUCGUGGUGAAGCACUAUGAUUAGCACGCUUUCAUCACAGUCAGAAAUUGAAAGGUCUUUUCAAGUUGUAAAGGUUUGAGUAUGCUCUCCUGAUGUCAUGCAGAAGGGAAAAUUAAGUGUUUGAAUUGCGACUGUUUCCUACUGACCAGGCACAGCACCUCUAA